UGAAGCAAGAAGUCCAUCAAGGAAAGGCUGGCUUCCAGUAGCACCUGGAGGUUAUUAGGGGCUGAUUUGAGACUAGCCAGUCAGCUUCCAAGUCUGAAAGUUCCCUAACCUCUUAAAUUUUACCACAGCCCUGGACUAGGACACAGCAUUUCCUCAAAACCUCAUAAAAAUCAACUCAACAGCUACACAAAGCCAUGUGAUAAAGGGUAGAUUUAAGAAGAAAAUCCUAACCUUUUGCUCCUGCUUUUGAAAACUUCAGAUGAACAAGCAUAUUCACUGCAAACUUCAAGGUGCCAAGUGACAGACAGUAUGCACUCAAUCCCCAUGAUGAACAUAGAAACUGGGGUUUGAAAGCACCUGCAGUGAAUGAAAAAUAGAAAUUCACACUGGGCUUGCUGAAACAAAAGCUACAGCCCUGGCUAAUGCAAGAGGUGAGUCACAGAGUGUCCACUUCAUCUCCUGGGAGCCCCGGUGUCAGGGAAAGGGAACAAAGCUGCUCCCAAACAAAGCUCUUUUGGGAAACCAUCUACUUUCAUUCAAAGACAACCUGAAACGGUCAACUCUUGGAGUCACCGAAGUCCUCUUUCUCCCCUCCUACCCAUACCUUCAUGGAGACCUAGACCGCAGACAUUUUGCUGGAUAACCGAGCUGCUGGGAGUUGAUGACAUGAAGACAUGCAUUCAUGUACCAACAAAGCAAUAAUCAAAGAGGAAUCUAACCCUGAGAAGCAAACUUAAUCCAGAAGCUCAAGCAGUGGCAACUAGAAGGACCCAGAGUGAACAGUACACAUCUGUGCUAUGGGUAAAUGUGUCUGUGAAUCAAGCAAGCAAGAUGCCCAUGAAUCAAGCAAGACCAAUGAAAAAAAAGAAAAAUUCCCUGUUAGCUCCCCUUUUAUACAUGUGCCCCUGCCUCACAUGAAUCAGUCAGGAGGAGACAUAUUAUAGCUAUGGAGGAAUAAAGAACAAAGGGAACACUUA
Molecule: long non-coding RNA, 977 nt
Organism: Odocoileus virginianus texanus
Lineage: Eukaryota; Metazoa; Chordata; Mammalia; Artiodactyla; Cervidae
Source: RefSeq, a predicted model, not a curated record